UGCUGCCACGUAAGACAUGCCUUUCACCUUCUGCCAUGAUUGUGAGGUGUCCCCAGCCCCAUGGAAAUGUUCAUAGGUGGAAGGGACUUGCCUUGUCUCAGAUGAGACUUUGGACUGUGGAUUUCUAAGUUAAUGCUGAAAUGAGUUAAGACUUUUGGGGACUGCUGGGAAGUCUCAGGUAUGUCUUUAUCAGCAGCAUGAAAACGGACUAAUAUAGCACCUCUGCUGACAGCUAUAGGACCAAGGACUGUAGACCCAAAUGCAGCAGGUGUGCACAGUGUGUUCCUUUACUCCUGCCCCAGGGAAGUGUGCCUGAGUUCUUCUUUUGUUGACCACCUGGGCUGAGGAUCAAUGCUGCCACCGGCUGUGGGCGCGUCUGGAAUUUUCCCUGGAAUCCAGGGACAAAUACACUUGUUCAGUUUUUAAUUUAUUUUAAAUUUUUAUUUGUGCUCCUCCAUAGCCACACGUAUUUUCCUGUCAUGAAGAUUUUCUUUAAUAAAGCUGCAAGUUUUGGGGAAAGUAUGUGUGAUGACUGGGAACUGAUUCCCGAAGGCUAGCUGCAAACCACGACUGGGAAAGAAGCAGGAUGGGCCCAGACUUUGCGGUGGCUGCUGUCCACCAGAACAUUCAGGUUCAGAAGGGUCGUGGGGGUCCCCGAGCCUGCUGAAAGAUGAGGCCCAGUCCUGGCUCCACUCAACUUACCGCACCCAUGCUUCAUUGCUCCUCAAAGCACUCACGACUCUGAUAUUUUGCUUCUAUAUUUGCUUCUUAUUUGUCUCCCAUCACUAGGAUGAAAUCUUCCAGAGAGCAAUGGUUUUCUCUGUCUUAUUCACUGUUGUAAAUAGUGCCUGGCACAUAGUAGGCACUGAAUAAAUAUUUGUUGAAUCAAUGCAUGAAUGAAACUUCAA
This 908-nucleotide long non-coding RNA is filed under the name Homo sapiens (human). RNAcentral describes it as "long intergenic non-protein coding RNA 261". The record is from RNAcentral. Lineage: Eukaryota; Metazoa; Chordata; Mammalia; Primates; Hominidae.